CCUACGGGUGGCAGCAGUGAGGAAUAUUGGUCAAUGGACGAGAGUCUGAACCAGCCAAGUAGCGUGAAGGAUGACUGCCCUAUGGGUUGUAAACUUCUUUUAUAUGGGAAUAAAAUGUUCCACGUGUGGGAUUUUGUAUGUACCAUAUGAAUAAGGAUCGGCUAACUCCGUGCCAGCAGCCGCGGUAAUACGGAGGGUCCGAGCGUUAUCCGGAUUUAUUGGGUUUAAAGGGAGCGUAGGUGGAUUGUUAAGUCAGUUGUGAAAGUUUGCGGCUCAACCGUAAAAUUGCAGUUGAAACUGGCAGUCUUGAGUACAGUAGAGGUGGGCGGAAUUCGUGGUGUAGCGGUGAAAUGCUUAGAUAUCACGAAGAACUCCGAUUGCGAAGGCAGUUCACUGGACUGCAACUGACACUGAGGCUCGAAAGUGUGGGUAUCAAACAGGAUUAGAUACCCUAGUAGUC
This 460-nucleotide ribosomal RNA is filed under the name uncultured bacterium. Its description in RNAcentral is "partial 16S ribosomal RNA". It matches the Rfam family "Bacterial small subunit ribosomal RNA", at positions 338 to 795 of the family's 1533-position model. The record is from RNAcentral.